UACAGAGGUGUCAAACGUUGUCCGGAAUUACUGGGCGUAAAGGGCGCGUAGGCGGCCUUAUAAGUCAUGUGUGAAAGCUCUGGGCUCAACCCAGGAAUUGCAUGUGAUACUGUAAGGCUUGAGUUCGGUAGAGGAGGGCGGAAUUCCAGGUGUAGCGGUGAAAUGCGUAGAUAUCUGGAGGAACACCCGUGGCGAAGGCGGCUCUCUGGUCCGAAACUGACGCUGAGGUGCGAAAGCUAGGGGAGCAAACAGG
RNAcentral lists this ribosomal RNA (253 nucleotides) under uncultured bacterium. RNAcentral's name for it is "partial 16S ribosomal RNA". It matches the Rfam family "Bacterial small subunit ribosomal RNA", at positions 524 to 776 of the family's 1533-position model. The record is from RNAcentral.